GACGUAGGGAGCGAGCGUUGUCCGGAUUCAUUGGGCGUAAAGAGCGCGUAGGCGGCCGUGCAAGUCGGUUGUGAAAUCCCGGGGCUCAACCCCGGGACUGCGUCCGAUACUGCACGGCUCGAGGCAGGUAGGGGAGAGUGGAAUUCCCGGUGUAGCGGUGAAAUGCGCAGAUAUCGGGAGGAACACCUGCGGCGAAGGCGGUUACCUGGACAGUUACUGACGCUCAGGCACGAAAGCAUGGGGAGCAAAAGGG
RNAcentral lists this ribosomal RNA (253 nucleotides) under uncultured bacterium. RNAcentral describes it as "partial 16S ribosomal RNA". It matches the Rfam family "Bacterial small subunit ribosomal RNA", at positions 524 to 776 of the family's 1533-position model. The record is from RNAcentral.